This 549-nucleotide ribosomal RNA is filed under the name uncultured Glomeromycotina. RNAcentral's name for it is "SSU rRNA". It matches the Rfam family "Eukaryotic small subunit ribosomal RNA", at positions 548 to 1098 of the family's 1831-position model. The record is from RNAcentral. Lineage: Eukaryota; Fungi; Glomeromycota.
UUGGACGGCAGUCUGUGCAGCAGCGCGGUAUUCAGCUCCAAUAGCGUAUAUUAAAGUGUGCAGUAAAAGCUCGUAGUUGAAUUUCGGGGUUCAUACGUUGGGUCGGGCUAUUUGGGUCUGUACUUAUGUAAUGGAUUCCUACCUUCUGGGAUAACCGGGCAUGUCAUUAAUUUUGGUGCGCCGGGGAAGCAGGACUGUUACCUUGAAAAAAUUAGAGUGCUUAAAGCAGGCUAUCGCCUGAAUACAUUAGCAUGGAAAUAAUGAAAUAGGACGGCAUGGGUUCUAUUUUGUUGGUUUCUAGGGAUCACCGUAAUGAUUAAUAGGGAUAGUUGGGGGCAUUAGUAUUCAAUUGUCAGAGGUGAAAUUCUUGGAUUUAUUGAAGACUAACUUCUGCGAAAGCAUUUGCCAAGGAUGUUUUCAUUAAUCAAGAACGAAAGUUGGGGGAUCGAAGACGAUCAGAUACCGUCGUAGUCUUAACCAUAAACUAUGCCGACUAGGGAUCGGACGAUGUUAAUUUUUUAAUGACUCGUUCGGCGCCUUACGGGAAAC